GAUGAACGCUGGCGGCGUGCCUAAUACAUGCAAGUCGAGCGAACAGAUAAGGAGCUUGCUCCUUUGACGUUAGCGGCGGACGGGUGAGUAACACGUGGGUAACCUACCUAUAAGACUGGAAUAACUCCGGGAAACCGGGGCUAAUGCCGGAUAACAUUUAGAACCGCAUGGUUCUAAAGUGAAAGAUGGUUUUACUAUCACUUAUAGAUGGACCCGCGCCGUAUUAGCUAGUUGGUAAGGUAACGGCUUACCAAGGCAACGAUACGUAGCCGACCUGAGAGGGUGAUCGGCCACACUGGAACUGAGACACGGUCAAGACUCCUACGGGAGGCAGCAGUAGGGAAUCUUCCGCAAUGGGCGAAAGCCUGACGGAGCAACGCCGCGUGAGUGAUGAAGGUCUUCGGAUCGUAAAACUCUGUUAUUAGGGAAGAACAAAUGUGUAAGUAACUGUGCACGUCUUGACGGUACCGAAUCAGAAAGCCACGGCUAACUACGUG
RNAcentral lists this ribosomal RNA (497 nucleotides) under uncultured bacterium. RNAcentral's name for it is "partial 16S ribosomal RNA". It matches the Rfam family "Bacterial small subunit ribosomal RNA", at positions 28 to 507 of the family's 1533-position model. The record is from RNAcentral.